GAUGAACGCUGGCGGCGUGCCUAAUACAUGCAAGUCGAGCGAACAGACGAGGAGCUUGCUCCUCUGACGUUAGCGGCGGACGGGUGAGUAACACGUGGAUAACCUACCUAUAAGACUGGGAUAACUUCGGGAAACCGGAGCUAAUACCGGAUAAUAUAUUGAACCGCAUGGUUCAAUAGUGAAAGACGGUUUUGCUGUCACUUAUAGAUGGAUCCGCGCCGCAUUAGCUAGUUGGUAAGGUAACGGCUUACCAAGGCAACGAUGCGUAGCCGACCUGAGAGGGUGACAGGCCAAAGUGGGACGGAGAUACGGCCCAGACCCCUACGGGAGGCAGGAGUGGGGAAUAGUGAAAAAUGGGUGGAAGGCAGAUGCAGAAACGCCGCGUGCGGGAUGACGGCCUUCGGGUUGGAAACAGAUUUCGCAGGUGAAGAAGCGUGAGUGACGGUAAUUAGUAAAGAAGCACCGGCUAACUACGUG
RNAcentral lists this ribosomal RNA (477 nucleotides) under uncultured bacterium. Its description in RNAcentral is "partial 16S ribosomal RNA". It matches the Rfam family "Bacterial small subunit ribosomal RNA", at positions 28 to 507 of the family's 1533-position model. The record is from RNAcentral.